This 503-nucleotide ribosomal RNA is filed under the name uncultured Lachnospiraceae bacterium. RNAcentral's name for it is "partial 16S ribosomal RNA". The record is from RNAcentral. Lineage: Bacteria; Bacillati; Bacillota; Clostridia; Lachnospirales; Lachnospiraceae.
CACGUAGUUAGCCGGGGCUUCUUAAUCAGGUACUGUCACUUUCUUCCCUGCUGAUAGAGCUUUACAUACCGAGAUACUUCAUCGCCCACGCGGCGUCGCUGCAUCAGGGUUUCCCCCAUUGUGCAAUAUUCCCCACUGCUGCCUCCCGCAGGAGUCUGGGCCGUGUCUCAGUCCCAAUGUGGCCGGCCGCCCUCUCAGGCCGGCUACUGAUCGUCGCCUUGGUGGGCCCGUUACCCCGCCAACCGAGCUAAUCAGACGCGGGCCCAUCCCAUACCACCGGAGUUUUCCCCAGGAAGCUAUGCAGCCUCCUGGGCGUAUGCGGUAUUAGCAGCCGUUUCCGGCUGUUAUCCCCCGGUAUGGGGCAGGUUGCCCACGCGUUACUCACCCGUCCGCCACUCAGACAAUUACCGUUCCUCCCGAAGGGAAUCCCUGUAACCGCUUCGUUCGACUUGCAUGUGUUAAGCACGCCGCCAGCGUUCAUCCUGACGCAGGACUCAAACUCU